This is a non-coding RNA of Gorilla gorilla gorilla (western lowland gorilla), 148 nucleotides long. It matches the Rfam family "Metazoan signal recognition particle RNA". From Rfam's summary of the family: The signal recognition particle (SRP) is a universally conserved ribonucleoprotein. NCBI's taxonomy places the organism in Eukaryota, Metazoa, Chordata, Mammalia, Primates, Hominidae. The record is from Rfam.
GCCGGGUGUGGUGGUGCACGCCUGUAAUCACUGCUACUCAUGAGGCUGAGGCAGGAGAAUUGCUUGAACCCAGGAGAUGGAGGUUGCAGUGAGCCAAGAUCAUGCCACUGCACUCCAACCUGGGUGACACAGUGAGAAUCUGUCUCAA